UUAACCUCACAAACUCUAACCCUAAGCAGCACUUAAGAACCUCGUUUUCAAGCCUCCAUGACCAUUGUUUGGUGAUCAAGAGUUGUAAUUGCUUUGCUUUCUCGUUGGAUCACGGCGGAGAAGAGUUUAACGUCACGUCUUCACCAUUCAACACCGGUUUCAAUUAGUGGAGAAGAGGAGUAAGGAACAGUUUCAAGUGGCUUUUUGGGUGAUCCUUUUUCCGUUGGAUCUGAAGGAACCAGAACACGCUAUUGGUGUCGUUGGAUAGAUCUCGCUGCGACGAAGAAGUAGUAAUUGACGGUUCUUCAUUACAAGGUUGGACUUUUGGAGAGGAUAUUCCGGUUAUCUCUGAUCAGUUGAGGUCAAGUAGACGGUGUUUACUGAUAAACGAAGUGUCAGGGAAGACGCUGGAGCCUUGAAAGUCACCAGAAAAGUUUCAGAUUGUUUCAAGCCAUUUUAAGCAGUUCUCUUCCAGUUCUCAGUCCAUUCCAGAUUCAGCGGAGAAUUAUGUGCCGGCUACCAACGGUCAUUGAUUGUUCUCUAUGCCUCAGACUCUACACAUGGUCGAACACGGAGCUUCUUAGCCCGCUAUGAUUCAUACAAGAGGCAUGGUGACCAUCCAAACUCAUCAACUACUCUAACUAGAUAUACAAGUAAGGAGUCAUCUCUCAUAUAUUCAAGCUUUGGGAAACAAGCGUUAUAGCAAGAGACACCAACUGUGGUACGUAUAGUGCAAGGUACUAUUUUAUUUAUUUUGACUUCGGCAUUGCUUCGUGGCUUAAGUUUUAAACAUUAGUUCAUUAGUUAUUUUAUACAAAGUAAAAUGGUCUAAAAGCAAGCCUAUUACUGCGGUGGAUAGAACUUUCUCAUGUUGGAAAUGAUUUGUUGCGAAUCCAGUAGUGGGAGUUUUCCUUACCCAGAAUGUUGCAAAUCAUUCAUCAAGUUAAUGCAUUCAAGCAAUUUGUAAUAACUAGAGGAUAUGUGCAACAUGAAUAGUUUUCACAAUUAUUAAGUUCUUCACAUUUGUAGUUCUACAUAUAUGGAUCUUCUUGCUGAGUUUUCUAUCAACUUGAACUUCAACAAAUGAUCAUCUCUUGAAAAGUGGGAAGUUCUGUAACUCAUGAAAUAGUGAUGAAAUUAGGUUCGAAACAUGCAGUUUCAAAUCCAAUAAUUCGCAAUCUAACUUGUGUGAUCGUAAAGGAUAUUGAUGAUGAUGAGGACGACACUAAUGUUGUUUGUUGUCACUGUAAAACUAGUGCCAGUUUUAUAAGCUCUACAAAUCAAUCAACAAUGAUGCUGCUGGAUCCAUUUCACACAAAUUUGGUGAAUGAGCAAGUUGAUUCCCAAAUGGUAAAAGGCAAAUGCCUUAUAUCAAACAUGGACAAUCUUUCUAUGGGCACGUCUACUUCUUCUCAUUGUGAACUGAACCUAAAUGAAGUAGAAAAACUGUGAUACUGAUGCAUUCACAAACAAACUCUAUAAAGAAAGUCAAGUUUAACAUAUGUCUAGCCAUCAACAAGAACUGGAGGGUACUCUCCAAUACUUGUUGUUGGUGGGACAUAUGUUGAACUUGACUUUAUUCAAAGACUAUGUUUGUGAAUUUACCAACAUCACAGUUCUCUAUUUCAUGUGGUACUUCAUUUAGGUUCAGUUCACAAUGAGAAGAAGUAGACGUGCCCGCAGAACGAAUGUCCGUGUUUUAUAUAAGGCCUUUGUCUUUCACCAUUUGAGAAUCAACUUCCUCAUUCACCAACCUUGUUUGAAAUAGAUUCAACAUCAUUGUUGAUUGAUUUGUAGAGUUGAUGGAAUUGUCACUGCUUUUAGAGGAUUCCUGUCAACAAACAGCAUCAGUGCCGUUCUCAUCACCAUCAAUCUCCUCUAUGAUGGCACAAGUUGGAUUUCUAAUUCUUGGAUUUGCAUAUCUCGGAUCCAAUUUCAUCAUUGUUUCAUGAGUUACUGAACUUCCCCACUAUUCAAGAGAUGAUCUCUUGUUGAAGUUCGAGUUGAUAGCAAAUGUGAAGAACUUAAUAAUUUUGAAAACCAUUCAUGUUGCACAUUUCUUGUGUUUAUUACAAAUCACUUGAAUGCAUUACCUUGAUGAAUGAUUUGCUACAUUCUCGGUUAGGAAAAACUCCCACUACUGAAUCCACAACAGAUUCUUUCCAACGUGAGAAAGUUCAAUCCCAUGUAGUAAUAGGCUUGUUUUUAGAUCAUUUGACAUUGUAUACAUUAACUAAUGAACUAAGGUUUAAAACUCAAGACACGAAGAAGCAACGCCGAAGUCAAAAUCAAUAAAAUAGUACCUUGCACUAUACGCACUCUAUCACUCUAGCAAUGAACAAGUCAUCUCUCAUACAUAUUUAAUUGUGACUCUAGAAGUUAAAAUUUGUAAAGUUUUGUUUUUCUUUUGAAUUUAAAUAUUAAUAACUGAACCUUAAAGAUUUG
This is a long non-coding RNA of Capsella rubella, 2445 nucleotides long. RefSeq lists it as uncharacterized. The transcript is spliced from 5 exons. Lineage: Eukaryota; Viridiplantae; Streptophyta; Magnoliopsida; Brassicales; Brassicaceae. The record is from RefSeq and is a predicted model, not a curated record.